GCUGGCGUAGCUCAGUUGGUAGAGCAUCUGAUUUGUAAUCAGAGGGUCAGGGGUUCAAAUCCCUUCGCCAGCUCCA
RNAcentral lists this transfer RNA (76 nucleotides) under Acidobacteriales bacterium 13_1_40CM_3_55_5. RNAcentral's name for it is "tRNA-Thr". It matches the Rfam family "tRNA". From Rfam's summary of the family: Transfer RNA (tRNA) molecules are approximately 80 nucleotides in length. Their secondary structure includes four short double-helical elements and three loops (D, anti-codon, and T loops). Lineage: Bacteria; Pseudomonadati; Acidobacteriota; Terriglobia; Terriglobales. The record is from RNAcentral. RNAcentral also lists the same sequence under 9 other names.